Molecule: ribosomal RNA, 472 nt
Filed under: uncultured bacterium
Lineage: Bacteria
Description: SSU rRNA
Rfam family: Bacterial small subunit ribosomal RNA
Source: RNAcentral
AGGAUAAACGCUGGCGGCGUGCCUAACACAUGCAAGUCGAACGUCUCUUUCUUCGGGAAGAGGAGUGGCGGACGGGUGAGGAACACGUGGGAACCUGCCCUUUAGUGAGGAAUACCGGCGAGAAAUCGCCGACAAGACCGCAUAGCCCUCUUUGAUGAGAGUCAAAGAAGGAAAGCUUCGCAAGAGGCGCUAGAGGAGGGGCCUGCGUCCGAUUAGCUAGUUGGUGGGGUAAGAGCCUACCAAGGCGUCGAUCGGUAGCUGGUCUGAGAGGACGAUCAGCCACACUGGGAUUGAGAACGGCCCAGACUCCUACGGGGGGCAGCAGUGAGGAAUUUUCGGCAAUGGGGGAAACCCUGACCGAGCAACGCCGCGUGCAGGAAGACGGCCUUCGGGUUGUAAACUGCUUUUCUUUGGGACGAGGAAGGACGGUACCAGAGGAAUCAGCCCGGCUCACUACGUGCCAGCACGCCGC